UACAGAGGGUGCAAGCGUUUAAUCGGAUUUACUGGGCGUAAAGCGCGCGUAGGCGGCUAAUUAAGUCAAAUGUGAAAUCCCCCGAGCUUAAACUUGGGAAUUGCAUUCGAUACUGGUUAGCUAGAGUGUGGGGAGAGGAUGGUAGAAUUCCAGGUGUAGCGGUGAAAUGCGUAGAGAUCUGGAGGAAUACCGAUGGCGAAGGCAGCCAUCUGGCCUAACACUGACGCUAGGUGCGAAAAGCAUGGGGGAGCAAACAGG
This 258-nucleotide ribosomal RNA is filed under the name uncultured bacterium. Its description in RNAcentral is "partial 16S ribosomal RNA". It matches the Rfam family "Bacterial small subunit ribosomal RNA", at positions 524 to 776 of the family's 1533-position model. The record is from RNAcentral.